AUUGAACGCUGGCGGCAGGCCUAACACAUGCAAGUCGAGCGGAUGAAGGGAGCUUGCUCCUGGAUUCAGCGGCGGACGGGUGAGUAAUGCCUAGGAAUCUGCCUGGUAGUGGGGGAUAACGUCCGGAAACGGGCGCUAAUACCGCAUACGUCCUGAGGGAGAAAGUGGGGGAUCUUCGGACCUCACGCUAUCAGAUGAGCCUAGGUCGGAUUAGCUAGUUGGUGGGGUAAAGGCCUACCAAGGCGACGAUCCGUAACUGGUCUGAGAGGAUGAUCAGUCACACUGGAACUGAGACACGGUCCAGACUCCUACGGGAGGCAGCAGUGGGGAAUAUUGGACAAUGGGCGAAAGCCUGAUCCAGCCAUGCCGCGUGUGUGAAGAAGGUCUUCGGAUUGUAAAGCACUUUAAGUUGAGAGGAAGGGCAGUAAGUUAAUACCUUGCUGAUUUGACGUUACCAACAGAAUAAGCACCGGCUAACUUCGUG
Molecule: ribosomal RNA, 484 nt
Filed under: uncultured bacterium
Lineage: Bacteria
Description: partial 16S ribosomal RNA
Rfam family: Bacterial small subunit ribosomal RNA
Source: RNAcentral